RNAcentral lists this ribosomal RNA (405 nucleotides) under bacterium 49_oclvp161. RNAcentral's name for it is "bacterial SSU rRNA". It matches the Rfam family "Bacterial small subunit ribosomal RNA", at positions 51 to 454 of the family's 1533-position model. RNAcentral also lists the same sequence under 1 other name. The record is from RNAcentral.
ACACAUGCAGUCGAGCGGGGAGAUNGUAGCUUGCNUACANUUGUACCUAGCGGCGGACGGGUGAGUAAUGCUUAGGAAUCUGCCUAUUAGUGGGGGACAACAUUCCGAAAGGAAUGCUAAUACCGCAUACGCCCUACGGGGGAAAGCAGGGGAUCUUCGGACCUUGCGCUAAUAGAUGAGCCUAAGUCAGAUUAGCUAGUUGGUGGGGUAAAGGCCUACCAAGGCGACGAUCUGUAGCGGGUCUGAGAGGAUGAUCCGCCACACUGGGACUGAGACACGGCCCAGACUCCUACGGGAGGCAGCAGUGGGGAAUAUUGGACAAUGGGCGCAAGCCUGAUCCAGCCAUGCCGCGUGUGUGAAGAAGGCCUUUUGGUUGUAAAGCACUUUAAGCGAGGAGGAGGCUAC